GGGAGGGAGGGCGGAUGCGCGGCCGCACCCGCGGGGCGAGCCCGGCCGCGGGCAGCGCUGGCCCUCGGCCGCCUCGGGCUCACGGCGUGCGGGAGAGCGGGGACAGACGGGCUUUGAGGUGGGGUUUCUCAGGACAGGCGGCGGUGCUGCUUUACUCCUCCCAUCGUCUCGCAGCGAGCUUGCCGGCCACGGACUCCUCCAAACUGAGCAAAGCGGAGGUGCCGCUCCCGCUGGGCACCCUGAGGAAAGGUGGUGCUACGGACGGCAGUGAGAGUGAUGCGGAGUGGGAAGAGCCCCAGACGUGAGGCUGUCUCUGCUGUCCUGGGGACGAGGGGACGACCUGUUAGAAGCAGACGUGGUUCUGUAGUUAGAAAUGAACUUACCUUGGCAGGAAACACUUUGCCAGGCUGGCAAAGAGACUGCUUAGCCCUCGUGUGCCCGAUUUCCUCAGAAGAAGCACAAAAGGAGAUGUUCUGUUCUUUGAAAAUAACUGGAGCCACUGGCAAGAAGCAGCGACACUGCAUCGAACAAGGGAACCACUUCCAGGUUAUCAAAACAUGCUGUUGA
This 567-nucleotide long non-coding RNA is filed under the name Parus major (Great Tit). Its description in RNAcentral is "lncRNA (ENSPMJG00000008288.1)". Lineage: Eukaryota; Metazoa; Chordata; Aves; Passeriformes; Paridae. The record is from RNAcentral.